Molecule: ribosomal RNA, 454 nt
Filed under: uncultured Sphingobacteriales bacterium
Lineage: Bacteria; Pseudomonadati; Bacteroidota; Sphingobacteriia; Sphingobacteriales
Description: bacterial SSU rRNA
Rfam family: Bacterial small subunit ribosomal RNA
Source: RNAcentral
ACAAGCGGAGGAACAUGUGGUUUAAUUCGAUGAUACGCGAGGAACCUUACCUGGGCUUAAAUGGGAGUGACAGCUGUCGAAAGAUGGUUUUCUUCGGACACUCUUCAAGGUGCUGCAUGGUUGUCGUCAGCUCGUGCCGUGAGGUGUCGGGUUAAGUCCCAUAACGAGCGCAACCCUUACCGUUAGUUACCAUCAGGUUAAGCUGGGGACUCUAGCGGGACUGCCACCGUAAGGUGAGAGGAAGGUGGGGAUGACGUCAAAUCAGCACGGCCCUUAUGUCCAGGGCUACACACGUGUUACAAUGGCCGGUACAAAGGGCAGCUACUUCGCGAGAAGAUGCUAAUCUCGAAAGCCGGUCUCAGUUCGGAUCGAAGUCUGCAACCCGACUUCGUGAAGCUGGAUUCGCUAGUAAUCGCGCAUCAGCCAUGGCGCGGUGAAUACGUUCCCGGGCCUU